This 423-nucleotide ribosomal RNA is filed under the name uncultured bacterium. Its description in RNAcentral is "partial 16S ribosomal RNA". It matches the Rfam family "Bacterial small subunit ribosomal RNA", at positions 360 to 774 of the family's 1533-position model. The record is from RNAcentral.
AAUCUUCCGCAAUGGACGAAAGUCUGACGGAGCGACGCCGCGUGAGUGAUGAAGGUCUUCGGAUCGUAAAACUCUGUUGUUAGGGAAGAACAAGUAUCGACCGAAUAAGUCGGUACCUUGACGGUACCUAACCAGAAAGCCCCGGCUAACUACGUGCCAGCAGCCGCGGUAAUACGUAGGGGGCGAGCGUUGUCCGGAAUUAUUGGGCGUAAAGGGCGCGCAGGCGGUCUUUUAAGUCUGAUGUGAAAUCUCGUAGCUUAACUACGAGCGGUCAUUGGAAACUGGAAGACUUGAGGACAGAAGAGGAGAGUGGAAUUCAACGUGUAGCGGUGAAAUGCGUAGAUAUUAGGAGGAAUACCAGUGGCGAAGGCGACUUUCUGGACUUUUUCUGACGCUGAGGAACGAAAGCAUGGGGAGCAAACA